Molecule: ribosomal RNA, 253 nt
Filed under: uncultured bacterium
Lineage: Bacteria
Description: partial 16S ribosomal RNA
Rfam family: Bacterial small subunit ribosomal RNA
Source: RNAcentral
UACGUAGGGGGCUAGCGUUGUCCGGAAUCAUUGGGCGUAAAGCGCGCGUAGGCGGCCAGAUAAGUCCGGUGUGAAAGUCACAGGCUCAACCUGUGAAUGCCGCUGGAAACUGUCUGGCUAGAGUCCGGAAGGGGCGAGUGGAAUUCCAGGUGUAGCGGUGAAAUGCGUAGAGAUCUGGAGGAACACCGAUGGCGAAGGCAGCCUUCUGGGCCAACACUGACGCUCAUGCACGAAAGCGUGGGGAGCAAACAGG